RNAcentral lists this ribosomal RNA (397 nucleotides) under uncultured bacterium. Its description in RNAcentral is "partial 16S ribosomal RNA". It matches the Rfam family "Bacterial small subunit ribosomal RNA", at positions 523 to 918 of the family's 1533-position model. The record is from RNAcentral.
CUACGUAGGGGGCGAGCGUUGUCCGGAAUGAUUGGGCGUAAAGGGCGCGUAGGCGGCCCGGUAAGUCUGGAGUGAAAGUCCUGUUUUUAAGAUGGGAAUUGCUUUGGAUACUGUCGGGCUUGAGUGCAGGAGAGGUAAGUGGAAUUCCCAGUGUAGCGGUGAAAUGGGUAGAGAUUGGGAGGAACACCAGUGGCGAAGGCGACUUACUGGACUGGAACUGACGCUGAGGCGCGAAAGUGUGGGGAGCAAACAGGAUUAGAUACCCUGGUAGUCCACACUGUAAACGAUGAAUGCUAGGUGUAGGGGGUAUCGACCCCUUCUGUGCCGCAGUCAACACAAUAAGCAUUCCGCCUGGGGAGUACGGCCGCAAGGUUGAAACUCAAAUGAAUUGACGGGG